Molecule: long non-coding RNA, 406 nt
Filed under: Junco hyemalis (dark-eyed junco)
Lineage: Eukaryota; Metazoa; Chordata; Aves; Passeriformes; Passerellidae
Description: lncRNA (ENSJHYG00000010323.1)
Source: RNAcentral
AUGUCAGGCUGGAGUCAGAAACAGAUCCAGGACCUGUGUAGUUCUGAUGAAAUGCUGUGCUCUCUUCCUGCUGAGGAAGACAAGUGGCAGGUGAUCACAGAGGGUGUGAAGCUGUUCUGCAAGAAGUCAACAGGCAAGUGGAUAUGGCUUAAGUUCAACAAGGAAAAUACACGAGACUCCCCUGUUGAGUUUUUGGUAUAUAAAAUUUGCGAAGUUCACCUUUGGCAUGUGGGUGGACUGCCAUUUUGGGUGGUGAUGGGGAAUGUAGCACUAAUUUGAGAGUAGGUGAUCAUGAUAUAAAAGUGAUUGUAAGGCUGCACCCUGGUGCUUAUCUCUACUCUCUCUAUUGUUCAUUUCCUAUCUAUUGUUAUGGUUAUCACUUACAAUAAAAGGGCAUUGAUUUACA